UACGGAGGAUGCGAGCGUUAUCCGGAUUUAUUGGGUUUAAAGGGUGCGUAGGCGGAUUGUUAAGUCAGCGGUGAAAGUUUUCGGCUCAACCGGAAAAUUGCCGUUGAAACUGGCGAUCUUGAGUGUAAAUGAGGUAGGCGGAAUGCGUGGUGUAGCGGUGAAAUGCUUAGAUAUCACGCAGAACUCCAAUUGCGAAGGCAGCUUACUGGGAUACAACUGACGCUGAGGCACGAAAGCGUGGGGAUCAAACAGG
Molecule: ribosomal RNA, 253 nt
Filed under: uncultured bacterium
Lineage: Bacteria
Description: partial 16S ribosomal RNA
Rfam family: Bacterial small subunit ribosomal RNA
Source: RNAcentral